UACAGAGGGGGCAAGCGUUAUUCGGAAUUAUUGGGCGUAAAGGGCGCGUAGGCGGCCUGGCAAGUGGAUGGUGAAAUCCCUCGGCUUAACCGAGGAACUGCCAUCCAGACUGCUGGGCUUGAGACCGGGAGAGGUGAGUGGAAUUCCCAGUGUAGCGGUGAAAUGCGUAGAUAUUGGGAGGAACACCAGUGGCGAAGGCGGCUCACUGGACCGGUACUGACGCUGAGGCGCGAAAGCGUGGGGAGCAAACGG
Molecule: ribosomal RNA, 252 nt
Filed under: uncultured bacterium
Lineage: Bacteria
Description: partial 16S ribosomal RNA
Rfam family: Bacterial small subunit ribosomal RNA
Source: RNAcentral